RNAcentral lists this non-coding RNA (26 nucleotides) under Rattus norvegicus (Norway rat). The record is from RNAcentral. Lineage: Eukaryota; Metazoa; Chordata; Mammalia; Rodentia; Muridae.
UGACAGACGGCUGGCUGCACGACUGU